This 2265-nucleotide long non-coding RNA is filed under the name Homo sapiens (human). RNAcentral describes it as "non-protein coding lnc-S100A16-2:1". The stretch from base 1996 to 2143 matches the Rfam family "Metazoan signal recognition particle RNA". Lineage: Eukaryota; Metazoa; Chordata; Mammalia; Primates; Hominidae. The record is from RNAcentral.
AGAGGAGGUCAGAGGACUGUAACAGCAGGCAGAGCUUUGGCUUCAGAGCCUGGAGCCACAGAGAUCCCAAAGGAGAAAAAGCAGCCACUGGAGGGUCAGUGGGCUCAGCCUGUGGCCUCCCUCAGGACUGCUGGGGCAAGAGAAGGGCAUGCCUCCCUUACCCAGGAGCUGUGAACCAGGUGCCUCCCUGAGCAUAUCAGGAGAGAGAAGAACCAGAAGCAGGUCUCUGUGGGGCCUCACAGUGGAGCAGAGAAGGCCUUUCCUCCGUCUGGGGUCCAGCGCUGGCCUGGCCCAGUGUCUGACCCUCUUGGGACUGAAGUGGUGGGUGCCCAAUAAGUUGUGCCUGUCAAACCCAUCUAUAGCAGACCUGUCAUUGUUUUUUAUUUUUGAGACAGAGUCUUGCUCUGUUGCCCAGGCUGGAGUAGGGGUGUGAUUACGGCUCACUGCAGCCUCGACCUCCCCAGUUCAAGCAAUCCUCCUACCUCAGCCUCCUGAAUGGCUAGGACUACAGGUGCAGGGUCACCAUGCCUGGCUAAUUUUCAAAAGUUUUCUGUAGAGAUGAUGUCUCUUUAUGUUGGCCAGGCUGGUCUUGAACUCCUGGGCUCAAGUGAUCUUCCCACCUUGGCCUCCCGAAGUGCUGGGAUUAUAGGUGUGAGCUACCGCACCUGGCCUCAGAUCUAUCAUUCUUUAGGGUGAGAGCCUAGCUCAUUUUGUCACAUAGGGUAAGAAACCUGAAACUAUCUGUGUCAACUUUUGUAUUUUCUGUAAAUUUGGUUUUAUUUUACAUUUAGAUUCCUAGUAAAGUCCCUUUUGAAAAACUAAACAUACUUUCUUUGUCCAGUGUUAAAAGUGUUGUUUUUCGCUCGGCAUGGUGGCUCACACUUGUGAGCUCCCAUCCCAGCACUUUGGGAGGCUGAGGAGGGAGGUUUGUUUGAGCCCAGGAGUUCCAGACCAGCCUGAAAAACACAGUGAGACUACACACACACACACACACACACACACACACAAACACACACACACACAAAAGUGGAUUUCUUUCUUUUCUUUUUUUUUAGAGACAAGGUCUCACUCUGUCACCCAGGCUGCAGUGCAGUGGCAUGAUCCUAGCUCACCGCAGCUUCAAACUCCCUGGUUCAAACGAUCCUCCUGCUUCAGCCUCCCAAAGUGCUGGGAUUACAGGUGUGAGCCACUGCACCUGGCAAAAGUUUUUUUGAGACAGAGUCUCUCUCUAUGGCUCAGGCUGGAGUGCAGUGGUGCAAUCUUGGCUCACUGCCAUCUACGCCUCCUGGGUUCAAGCAAUUCUCCUGCCUCAGCCUCCAGAGUAGCUGGGAUUACAGGCACCUGCCACCAUGCCCGGCUGAUUUUUUUGUAUUUUUAGUAGAGAUGGGAUUUUACCAUUAUUGGUCAGGCUGGUCUCAAACUCCUGACUUUGUGAGCUGCCCGCCUCGGCCUCCCAAAGUGCUAGGAUUACAGAUGUGAGCCACCACGCCCGCCUGGCAAAAGUUUUAAUGAGCACUUUCACAUUCAAGGUUUUUUUGUUCCUCUUAACAACUGCAGUGAGAUAAGUAUCAUGACCCACAUUUUACACAUGAAGAUGUCAAGGUUCAGAGAGGUGAUGUGACUCAGCCAAGGACUCACUGUUGAUGAUCAGGAGACUUGUGACUCAGACCCCAUCUUUUACUAACUCUGUGUGGACUGCCCAAAGGGCAGAGGUUCUUGUCCGGUUUUGGCCCCAAUAAUUAUGGAGGACUAAGAGUGUCCCUCAGAGGCCCUGUAUAGUGGCUGUGUUGUUUCUGCUGCAGACUCAUUUAUUCAUUCAGUAAGAAUAAAGUACCUUAAGGCCAGGCGUGGUGGCUCACACUUGUAAUCCCAGCACUUUGGGAGGCAGAGGUGGGCAAACCAUGAGGGCAGGAGUUUGAGACCAGCCUGGCCAAUGUGAAGAAAUGCCGUCUCUACUAAAAAAAACCAAAAAACAAAAAAAACCCCCAAAAAUUAGCCGGGCGUGGUGGUGCACGCCUGUAAUCCCAGCUACUUGGGAGGCUGAGGUGGGAGAAUCAUUUGAACCCAGGAGGCGGAGGCUGCAGUGAGCCAAGAUCGCCCCACCGCACUCCAGCCUGGGCGACAGAGCGAGACUCCAUCUCAAAAAAACAAAAAAACGAAACAAAAAGAAUAACGUACCUUGUACAUGCCAGACACAGUAGAUGCUAUAGCAAAAAGAGUAGAAACAGACAUGCUUUCUGAUUUUAUGGGGCUUACAAGUUGGAG